AGGUUUAGCUCCACAAUUAAUAAUAAAGAGGGCUACUAUUAGAGUUUAUGUGUGUUUCGUGGGAUGUGUGAAGCGUGUGUUUUAGAAUUUUUGGGGUAAACCACCAAGCACAAAAAGUAACUAUUAAAUGCCAAAUUUAAAUAAGCAAACUAAAUUUUCAGGGAAGGACAAACCUGGCCCGGUAGAGGACGACGAACAAAGUGCGGCAAACGGCUCGUCAACGGGCACGAAGCACAGGAGGGGAGGGAGCUGCGUAGGCCUGCUGGGCCGUGGGCUAAAGGGAGAAGGAAGAGGCAGGCUGCAGUGGGCUCUGCAGUGGCGUUGCAAGCCUGUCAGUUUAGGCCCGUGAAGAAGAAGUCAAGGCGGGCUGAAGUGGC
RNAcentral lists this long non-coding RNA (377 nucleotides) under Phoenix dactylifera (date palm). RNAcentral describes it as "long non-coding RNA (PDAC_LNC014867)". The record is from RNAcentral. Lineage: Eukaryota; Viridiplantae; Streptophyta; Magnoliopsida; Arecales; Arecaceae.